Long non-coding RNA from Manis javanica (Malayan pangolin), 543 nucleotides. RefSeq lists it as uncharacterized. The record is from RefSeq and is a predicted model, not a curated record. Lineage: Eukaryota; Metazoa; Chordata; Mammalia; Pholidota; Manidae.
CCCGCCCUGAGGCCCCAGAAGGGCCCGCGGGGAGGCCAGGCGUCUGCUUCCCUCCUCAGAACCCGCUGUCCUCCUGCAAGUGACCCUGGGAAAGCCUCUGGGCCGCUCUCUGCCUCCGCCCCUCAUCUGCGCAUAGGGUCGCAGACAUAGGUGUCCCGUGAGGUGCGAACUCCUUCCUCCUUGGGUCGGAAGCUUGAUUCCCUGCCCUCUCACCUGGUAACUUGGAGAGCCACCUUGUCCUGACCUCACCUGUUAGAGGGGGACGAUGGUGGAACAUAUUUUGGAGCUCCCUGUGAAGAAGAGGGAAAAUCCCCUACUCAUUUAAAACCCUUGACUAGCCCAUGCCAGCCCUCGGGCCCCCUGCACCGUCAGACACUCCCUGUUUCUGAUGCUGGGGGUUCCAGUCCUAGCCUUUGUUAUAGUUCACCAAAGUACUGAAUAUCCCUGUGGAUAAAAUGAGAGUUCCUGGGGCCAGGAUUCUCACCUGGCCCUGGUUGGCUAGCUCACUGCACACCUGUGGGCAGUACAUGGCUGUUGACUUUA